Molecule: transfer RNA, 73 nt
Filed under: Streptococcus salivarius
Lineage: Bacteria; Bacillati; Bacillota; Bacilli; Lactobacillales; Streptococcaceae
Also listed under: 3 other names
Description: tRNA-Arg
Rfam family: tRNA
About the family: Transfer RNA (tRNA) molecules are approximately 80 nucleotides in length. Their secondary structure includes four short double-helical elements and three loops (D, anti-codon, and T loops).
Source: RNAcentral
GGUCCUGUAGCUCAGUGUAUAGAGCAGGAAUCUUCUAAAUUCCGGGUCGUGAGUUAGAUUCUCACCAGGACCA